GUUAGGAAUAUUGGACAAUGGGCGAAAGCCUGAUCCAGCCAUGCCGCGUGAACGAUGAAGGCCUUCGGGUUGUAAAGUUCUUUAGCCGAUGAUUAUAAUGACUGUAGUCGGAAAAUAAGCCCCGGCUAACUUCGUGCCAGCAGCCGCGGUAAUACGAAGGGGGCGAGCGUUAUUCGGAAUCACUGGGCGUAAAGCGUGUGUAGGCGGUUUUGUAAGUUAGGAGUGAAAGCCCAGGGCUCAACCUUGGAAUUGCUCUUAAAACUGCAAGGCUCGAAUCUCGGAGAGGAUAGCGGAAUUUCCAGUGUAGCAGUGAAAUGCGUAGAUAUUGGAAGGAACACCAGUGGCGUAAGCGGCUAUCUGGACGAGUAUUGACGCUGAGGCACGAAAGCGUGGGGAUCAAACAGGAUUAGAUACCCCGGUAGUCC
RNAcentral lists this ribosomal RNA (425 nucleotides) under uncultured bacterium. RNAcentral describes it as "partial 16S ribosomal RNA". It matches the Rfam family "Bacterial small subunit ribosomal RNA", at positions 354 to 796 of the family's 1533-position model. The record is from RNAcentral.